GGAAAACAAUAUUUUAUGCUUUUUAUCAAUGAUUUUAGAUGUUAAUCACUCAGAUCCACUAGAUUUCAAAUCUACGCCAAUGAAUUUACAAAGUAAAUCAGCAGCUCACACAUUAUUUCAGUUUAUAUUGUUUGAACAGAGGAAUCAAGCCUAAGCCAAACAGAAAAACUAUAUGUGAGUUUGACAAGAUUCCAAACAAUCAAUUAAGAAGAAAAAUGAGCGGUAGAUGUUGGCAUCUAGGUGGACAAAGAUAACUGCAUCAAUGAUCAUAAAUCAACUAUUCAGUAUGAGUACCAUGUGUAGAGUGUAGAUAGACAUAUGUUUCGUUUGAUUCAAAGAGUAUAUUAAUUUUAAGUAUUUUGCAUCCAAGCCUUAAUCAUAAAUGGGAAAUGACAUUAAGAAACACCAAAAGAAAUGAUAUCAAGAGUUGGGUAUUGGGUCUAGUAGUAUGAUUCACUUAGGUUGUGAGAGGUCCCGAGUUUAAUUCUCAAAAUGCCCCAUUUGAUUCAGAAAAUAAGCAUUCCAUAUAGUUUUUACUUCUCAUGCUAGAUUGUAGCUCAGAAACAGGCAUCAAAUCAAUUGUAAUGGGACAACAUGAAAACUUCUAGAGAAUUCACUAAGCAUACUUUUUUCCAUAAAAAAUAAAUUAUUGUUAGUCAAUAAAAUGAGAAUCUGGUAUUCAGAUUAAGAUUGCAAACUUUGGAUCAUACCUGUAUCUAGCUCCAUU
This 727-nucleotide unclassified non-coding RNA is filed under the name Hevea brasiliensis (rubber tree). The record is from RNAcentral. Lineage: Eukaryota; Viridiplantae; Streptophyta; Magnoliopsida; Malpighiales; Euphorbiaceae.